UACGAAGGACCCGAGCGUUAUCCGGAUUUAUUGGGUUUAAAGGGUGCGUAGGCGGAUUAGUAAGUCAGUGGUGAAAGCCCGUCGCUUAACGGCGGAACUGCCAUUGAUACUGCUAGUCUUGAGUAUGGUUGAGGUGGGCGGAAUGUGUCAUGUAGCGGUGAAAUGCUUAGAUAUGACCCCGAACACCAAUUGCGAAGGCAGCUCGCUAAGCCAUAACUGACGCUGAGGCACGAAAGCGUGGGGAGCAAACAGG
RNAcentral lists this ribosomal RNA (253 nucleotides) under uncultured bacterium. Its description in RNAcentral is "partial 16S ribosomal RNA". It matches the Rfam family "Bacterial small subunit ribosomal RNA", at positions 524 to 776 of the family's 1533-position model. The record is from RNAcentral.